CCUACGGGUGGCAGCAGUGGGGGAUAUUGCACAAUGGGCGAAACCCUGAUGCAGCGACGCCGCGUGAGUGAAGAAGUAUUUCGGGAUGUAAAGCUCUAUUAGCAGGGAAGAAAAGGACAGUACCUGUACCAGAAGCGCCGGCUAAAUACGUGCCAGCAUCCGCGGUCAUCCGUAGGGGGCAAGCGGUAUCCGGAUGUACUGGGGGUAAAGGGAGCGUAGACGGGUAUGUAAGUCUGGAGUGAAAGCUCGGGGCCCAACCCCGGGACUGCUUUGGAAACUGUGUAACUGGAGUACAGGAGGGGCAGGCGGAAUUCCUGGUGUAGCGGUGAAAUGCGUAGAUAUCAGGAGGAACACCGGCGGCGAAGGCGGCCUGCUGGACUGAAACUGACGUUGAGGCUCGAAAGCGUGGGGAGCAAACAGGAUUAGAUACCCUAGUAGUC
RNAcentral lists this ribosomal RNA (440 nucleotides) under uncultured bacterium. RNAcentral describes it as "partial 16S ribosomal RNA". It matches the Rfam family "Bacterial small subunit ribosomal RNA", at positions 338 to 795 of the family's 1533-position model. The record is from RNAcentral.